UACGGAGGGUGCGAGCGUUGUCCGGAAUCACUGGGCGUAAAGGGCGCGUAGGCGGCGCGGAUAGUCGGCGGUGAAAGCCCGGAGCUCAACUCCGGGUCGGCCGUCGAUACUUCCGGGCUUGAGCACUGUAGAGGCAGAUGGAAUUCCGGGUGUGGCGGUGGAAUGCGUAGAGAUCCGGAAGAACACCGGUGGCGAAGGCGGUCUGCUGGGCAGUUGCUGACGCUGAUGCGCGACAGCGUGGGGAGCAAACAGG
This 253-nucleotide ribosomal RNA is filed under the name uncultured bacterium. RNAcentral's name for it is "partial 16S ribosomal RNA". It matches the Rfam family "Bacterial small subunit ribosomal RNA", at positions 524 to 776 of the family's 1533-position model. The record is from RNAcentral.